This 735-nucleotide ribosomal RNA is filed under the name Vittaforma corneae. RNAcentral describes it as "SSU rRNA". It matches the Rfam family "Microsporidia small subunit ribosomal RNA", at positions 361 to 1134 of the family's 1311-position model. The record is from RNAcentral. Lineage: Eukaryota; Fungi; Microsporidia; Nosematidae.
AGGGAUAGGAGAAUUGGAGGGCAAGUUUGGUGCCAGCAGCCGCGGUAAUACCGACUCCAAGAGUGUGUAUGAGAGAUGCUGCAGUUAAAAAGUCCGUAGUCAUAGAAGGGCAAAGAGAGAUGCGAGGUCUCACAGUGCGAUGAUGGAGGAGCCGAUGGGGAACAUAGUAUACCAGGGCGAGAGAUGAAAUGCCAAGACCCCUGGUGGACUGAGCGAGGCGAAGGCGAUGUUCUUGUAGGCAUUCGGUGAUCAAGGACGAAGGCUGGAGUAUCGAAAGUGAUUAGAUACCGCAGUAGUUCCAGCAGUAAAAGAUGCCGACAUGCUCAUUGGACACAGUGGGCAGGGAGAAAUCUUAGAGUUCGGGCUCUGGGGAUAGUAUGCUCGCAAGGGUGAAAAUUAAAGAAAUUGACGGAGCUACACCACAAGGAGUGGAUUGUGCGGCUUAAUUUGACUCAACGCGAGGAAACUUACCAGGGCCAAGUAUUGUGUAGAAACGAGCAAUACAGGAGUGGUGCAUGGUCGUUGGAAAUUGAUGGGAUGACUUUGACCUUAAAUGGUUGAAUGAGUGAGAUCUUUUGGACAUGUUCCGCACGGAACAGGAAGGAAAAGGCUAUAACAGAUCCGAGAUGCCCUCAGAUGCCCUGGGCUGCACGCGCAAUACAAUAGCAGGUAGAGAGAGAGACAGGAAGGUGCUCAGAUGGACUAUGUGCUGUAAGGCACAUACGAAAGAGGAAU